UUACACCCAAACACAACACUCUCUCACGACCAAACCCUAGAAAUCAACCUUGCGAUCAAUCGAUCGACCAAAACACCAACACUUACACCCAAACACAACACUCUCUCACGACCAAACCCUAGAAAUCAACCUUGCGCUCAAUCGAUCGACCAAAACACCAUCCUUUCGCCGCCAUUCAAGUAUAUUAACUAUGCCAGUAAUGUUGUUUAAAAAUUAUAGCCCGUUGCUGUCGGCACCAUUUUGCUAGUGGUAUUGAAACCCUAGAACUAAACUCUUACCUUCUCAGUUGAUGGAAGAAUGCCACCAUUCUGCCCCCAUUUAAACCAUUUACUCUCGAUUACACACUCGUUUUGCAUUGUUUCGUAGUCUCUUUGUCCUUUCAGCGUCACCAUCACUCUCGUUUCACUUCGUGAAGG
This 416-nucleotide long non-coding RNA is filed under the name Citrus maxima (pomelo). RNAcentral describes it as "long non-coding RNA (CMAX_LNC002703)". The record is from RNAcentral. Lineage: Eukaryota; Viridiplantae; Streptophyta; Magnoliopsida; Sapindales; Rutaceae.